RNAcentral lists this long non-coding RNA (386 nucleotides) under Setaria viridis. RNAcentral's name for it is "long non-coding RNA (SVIR_LNC009559)". Lineage: Eukaryota; Viridiplantae; Streptophyta; Magnoliopsida; Poales; Poaceae. The record is from RNAcentral.
UAUUAUUCUACACACUUGGUCAAAGUUAGACAUGUUUGACUUAGGGCAAACCUAAUGUGACAUGUAAAAAGAGGGAGUAUAACUACUAAUGAAAUGCGUGUAAUCUACUCCCUUAUUUAAUUAGUAUCUAUUUUAAUAUGAUCUUCUCUUAAAUCAAAGUACAGACCAAAGAAAUAAAUUUAGACACCCUCCGCUUACAUGCAAACAUGAAUAGAAAUUGGUUGAGUUGGCAUUCGUUCAGUUGCCCUCCCCUUCCCUCCUCCAAGGGCCCCAAUAUGUAUAAGGAGAAACAAGCAAAGAAAAAAAAUGAUGGAAUCCAAGGGAUAAUCAGGACCACACAGCCGUGUAAUUUCUAGGAUGUUUUGCUAACAUUGGAGCUAAGCAAC